GGUUAAGCGACUAAGCGUACACGGUGGAUGCCCUGGCAGUCAGAGGCGAUGAAGGACGUGCUAAUCUGCGAAAAGCGUCGGUAAGGUGAUAUGAACCGUUAUAACCGGCGAUGUCCGAAUGGGGAAACCCAGUGCAAUUCGUUGCACUAUCGUUAACUGAAUACAUAGGUUAACGAGGCGAACCGGGGGAACUGAAACAUCUAAGUACCCCGAGGAAAAGAAAUCAACCGAGAUUCCCCCAGUAGCGGCGAGCGAACGGGGAGCAGCCCAGAGUCUGAAUCAGCUUGUGUGUUAGUGGAACGGUCUGGAAAGUCCGACGGUACAGGGUGAUAGUCCCGUACACCAAAAUGCACAGGCUGUGAACUCGAAGAGUAGGGCGGGACACGUGGUAUCCUGUCUGAAUAUGGGGGGACCAUCCUCCAAGGCUAAAUACUCCUGACUGACCGAUAGUGAACCAGUACCGUGAGGGAAAGGCGAAAAGAACCCCGGCGAGGGGAGUGAAAAAGAACCUGAAACCGUGUACGUACAAGCAGUGGGAGCACCUUCGGGUGUGACUGCGUACCUUUUGUAUAAUGGGUCAGCGACUUAUAUUCUGUAGCAAGGUUAACCGUAUAGGGGAGCCGCAGGGAAACCGAGUCUUAACUGGGCGUUAAGUUGCAGGGUAUAGACCCGAAACCCGGUGAUCUAGCCAUGGGCAGGUUGAAGGUUGGGUAACACUAACUGGAGGACCGAACCGACUAAUGUUGAAAAAUUAGCGGAUGACUUGUGGCUGGGGGUGAAAGGCCAAUCAAACCGGGAGAUAGCUGGUUCUCCCCGAAAGCUAUUUAGGUAGCGCCUCGUGAACUCAUCUUCGGGGGUAGAGCACUGUUUCGGCUAGGGGGUCAUCCCGACUUACCAACCCGAUGCAAACUACGAAUACCGAAGAAUGUUAUCACGGGAGACACACGGCGGGUGCUAACGUCCGUCGUGAAGAGGGAAACAACCCAGACCGCCAGCUAAGGUCCCAAAGUCAUGGUUAAGUGGGAAACGAUGUGGGAAGGCACAGACAGCCAGGAUGUUGGCUUAGAAGCAGCCAUCAUUUAAAGAAAGCGUAAUAGCUCACUGGUCGAGUCGGCCUGCGCGGAAGAUGUAACGGGGCUAAACCAUGCACCGAAGCUGCGGCAGCGACGCUUAUGCGUUGUUGGGUAGGGGAGCGUUCUGUAAGCCUGCGAAGGUGACCUGUGAGGGUUGCUGGAGGUAUCAGAAGUGCGAAUGCUGACAUAAGUAACGAUAAAGCGGGUGAAAAGCCCGCUCGCCGGAAGACCAAGGGUUCCUGUCCAACGUUAAUCGGGGCAGGGUGAGUCGACCCCUAAGGCGAGGCCGAAAGGCGUAGUCGAUGGGAAACAGGUUAAUAUUCCUGUACUUGGUGUUACUGCGAAGGGGGGACGGAGAAGGCUAUGUUAGCCGGGCGACGGUUGUCCCGGUUUAAGCAUGUAGGCUGGUUAUCCAGGCAAAUCCGGAUAAUCAAGGCUGAGGUGUGAUGACGAGG
This 1528-nucleotide ribosomal RNA is filed under the name Klebsiella quasipneumoniae. RNAcentral's name for it is "partial 23S ribosomal RNA". It matches the Rfam family "Bacterial large subunit ribosomal RNA", at positions 1 to 1574 of the family's 2925-position model. Lineage: Bacteria; Pseudomonadati; Pseudomonadota; Gammaproteobacteria; Enterobacterales; Enterobacteriaceae. The record is from RNAcentral.